RNAcentral lists this ribosomal RNA (252 nucleotides) under Triticum aestivum (bread wheat). RNAcentral's name for it is "partial small subunit ribosomal RNA". The record is from RNAcentral. Lineage: Eukaryota; Viridiplantae; Streptophyta; Magnoliopsida; Poales; Poaceae.
AUGAGAAUAUUGGAAAACAUCAAUUUUGAUGCUCUGGUUGACCUUAUGCUUGCAGCUGAGUGUACUUAUUCUGAUGCACUGGUUGACCUUAUGCUUCUAGCUGAGCUAGAAUUCCUCCUAUUCAAAUGCUCGCAACAUUCAAUUAUGUUUUAUUCGAAAGCUACUUGCCGUAAAGUAGUAUAUGUGGUAGCUUUUCAGUAUAGCUUCCAAAAACAUGUGGUUCAAGUCCUCAAUUUGUUUAGAAGAAGAUAG